CAGUCGCACGGUAACAGGAGAAGCUUGCUUCUUGCUGACGAGUGGCGGACGGGUGAGUAACGCGUAGGAAUCUGCCCAUCUGUGGGGGAUACCAGUUGGAAACGACUGUUAAUACCGCAUAAUAUCUGCGGAUUAAAGGUGGCCUUUGUGCUGCCGCAGAUGGAUGAGCCUGCGUUAGAUUAGCUUGUUGGUGGGGUAAAGGCCUACCAAGGCUACGAUCUAUAGCUGAUUUGAGAGGAUGAUCAGCCACAUUGGGACUGAGACACGGCCCAAACUCCUACGGGAGGCAGCAGUGGGGAAUAUUGGACAAUGGGGGAAACCCUGAUCCAGCAAUGCCAUGUGUGUGAAGAAGGCUCUAGGGUUGUAAAGCACUUUAGUUGGGGAGGAAAGCCUAUGAGUUAAUAGCUUGUAGGAAGGACGUUACCCAAAGAAUAAGGACCGGCUAACUCCGUGCCAGCAGCCGCGGUAAUACGGGGGGUCCGAGCGUUAAUCGGAAUUACUGGGCGUAAAGGGUCUGUAGGUGGUUUGUUAAGUCAGAUGUGAAAGCCCAGGGCUCAACCUUGGAACUGCAUUUGAUACU
This 580-nucleotide ribosomal RNA is filed under the name Thiotrichales bacterium PSOR102. RNAcentral describes it as "bacterial SSU rRNA". It matches the Rfam family "Bacterial small subunit ribosomal RNA", at positions 59 to 634 of the family's 1533-position model. The record is from RNAcentral. Lineage: Bacteria; Pseudomonadati; Pseudomonadota; Gammaproteobacteria; Thiotrichales.